UUGGUCAGGUUGAAGUUCAGGUAACACUGAAUGGAGGACCGAACCGACUUACGUUGAAAAGUGAGCGGAUGAACUGAGGGUAGCGGAGAAAUUCCAAUCGAACCUGGAGAUAGCUGGUUCUCUCCGAAAUAGCUUUAGGGCUAGCCUCAAGUGAUGAUUAUUGGAGGUAGAGCACUGUUUGGACGAGGGGCCCCUCUCGGGUUACCGAAUUCAGACAAACUCCGAAUGCCAAUUAAUUUAACUUGGGAGUCAGAACAUGGGUGAUAAGGUCCGUGUUCGAAAGGGAAACAGCCCAGACCACCAGCUAAGGUCCCAAAAUAUAUGUUAAGUGGAAAAGGAUGUGGCGUUGCCCAGACAACUAGGAUGUUGGCUUAGAAGCAGCCAUCAUUUAAAGAGUGCGUAAUAGCUCACUAGUCGAGUGACACUGCGCCGAAAAUGUACCGGGGCUAAACAUAUUACCGAAGCUGUGGAUUGUCCUUUGGACAAUGGUAGGAGAGCGUUCU
RNAcentral lists this ribosomal RNA (503 nucleotides) under Staphylococcus aureus. Its description in RNAcentral is "partial 23S ribosomal RNA". It matches the Rfam family "Bacterial large subunit ribosomal RNA", at positions 736 to 1242 of the family's 2925-position model. Lineage: Bacteria; Bacillati; Bacillota; Bacilli; Caryophanales; Staphylococcaceae. The record is from RNAcentral.